RNAcentral lists this ribosomal RNA (177 nucleotides) under uncultured bacterium. RNAcentral describes it as "partial 16S ribosomal RNA". It matches the Rfam family "Bacterial small subunit ribosomal RNA", at positions 1323 to 1500 of the family's 1533-position model. The record is from RNAcentral.
AAGCUGGAUUCGCUAGUAAUCGCGCAUCAGCCAUGGCGCGGUGAAUACGUUCCCGGGCCUUGUACACACCGCCCGUCACACCAUGAGAGUUGGGAAUACCCGAAGCCUGUGAGCUAACAUAUGAGGCAGCAGUCGAAGGUAGAAUCAAUGAUUGGGGUGAAGUCGUAACAAGGUAGC